RNAcentral lists this ribosomal RNA (650 nucleotides) under uncultured bacterium. RNAcentral describes it as "bacterial SSU rRNA". It matches the Rfam family "Bacterial small subunit ribosomal RNA", at positions 130 to 766 of the family's 1533-position model. The record is from RNAcentral.
CUCAAUGAUUGGGACAACCCGAGGAAACUCGGGCUAAUACCAAAUGUGUUCACUCCUUCUAAGGGGAGUGAGGAAAGGAAGCUUCGGCCUCCGCAUUGAGAUGGGCCCGCGGCCCAUUAGCUUGUUGGUGAGGUAACGGCUCACCAAGGCUUCGAUGGGUAGCUGGUCUGAGAGGACGAUCAGCCACACUGGGACUGAGACACGGCCCAGACUCAUACGGGAGGCAGCAGUGGGGAAUCUUGCACAAUGCGCGAAAGCGUGAUGCAGCAACGCCGCGUGGGGGAAGACGGCCUUCGGGUUGUAAACCCCUUUCAGUUGGGACGAAGCUUCGUCGGUGAAUAGCCGGUUGGAGUGACUGUAUUUUUCAGAAGAAGCCCCGGCUAACUACGUGCCAGCAGCCGCGGUAAUACGUAGGGGGCAAGCGUUGUCCGGAAUCAUUGGGCGUAAAGCGCGUGUAGGCGGCUCGAUAAGUCUGCUGUGAAAGUCCAGGGCUCAACCCUGGGAUGCCGGUGGAUACUGUCGAGCUCGAGUCCGGAAGAGGCGAGUGGAAUUCCUGGUGUAGCGGUGAAAUGCGCAGAUAUCAGGAGGAACACCAAUGGCGAAGGCAGCUCGCUGGGACGUGACUGACGCUGAGACGCGAAAGCGUGGGG